RNAcentral lists this ribosomal RNA (450 nucleotides) under uncultured Glomus. Its description in RNAcentral is "SSU rRNA". It matches the Rfam family "Eukaryotic small subunit ribosomal RNA", at positions 569 to 1028 of the family's 1831-position model. The record is from RNAcentral. Lineage: Eukaryota; Fungi; Glomeromycota; Glomeromycetes; Glomerales; Glomeraceae.
AGCAGCCGCGGUAAUUCCAGCUCCAAUAGCGUAUAUUAAAGUUGUUGCAGUUAAAAAGCUCGUAGUUGAAUUUCGGGGUCAGUAGGUUGGUCGUGCCACUGGUAUGUAUUGGUCUCACUGAUUCCUCCUUCCUGAUGAACCGUAAUGCCAUUAAUUUGGUGUUGCAGGGAAACUGGACUGUUACUUUGAAAAAUUGAGUGUUUAAAGCAAGCUAACGCUUGAAUACAUUAGCAUGGAAUAAUGAAAUAGGACGAUCGAUCCUAUUUGUGGUUUCUAGGAUUGCCGUAAUGAUUAAUAGGGAUAGUUGGGGGCAUUAGUAUUCAAUUGUCAGAGGUGAAAUUCUUGGGUUUAUUGAAGCUAACUACUGCGAAAGCAUUUGCCAAGGAUGUUUUCAUUAAUCAAGAACGAAAGUUAGGGGAUCGAAGACGAUCAGAUACCGUCGUAGUCUUA